GAAUGAUGGAUCUACAAGUGAUGGGCUCAAUUAAGGAUUGGUGGUUAAAGAUUCUAAUAUGAUGGUUGAUAUGGCCAGAUCCAAUUAGGUAUGUUAAUCGAAACUAGUGAAGAAAUUUCAGGGAGAAAAUACACGGAACAAGGCUAGCUGUAGAGGUGGGGUAGAAAGUAGAA
Molecule: long non-coding RNA, 173 nt
Organism: Telopea speciosissima
Lineage: Eukaryota; Viridiplantae; Streptophyta; Magnoliopsida; Proteales; Proteaceae
Exons: 2
Source: RefSeq, a predicted model, not a curated record